Molecule: ribosomal RNA, 463 nt
Filed under: uncultured bacterium
Lineage: Bacteria
Description: partial 16S ribosomal RNA
Rfam family: Bacterial small subunit ribosomal RNA
Source: RNAcentral
GACGAACGCUGGCGGCGUGCUUAACACAUGCAAGUCGAACGGAACGGCCCUGCUUUUGUGGGGUGCUCGAGUGGCGAACGGGUGAGUAACACGUGAGUAACCUGCCCUUGCCUUUGGGAUAACUUCAGGACACUGGGGCUAAUACCGGAUAGGAGCUCCUGCUUCUUGGUGGGGGUUGGAAAGUUUCGGCGGUUGGGGAUGGACUCGCGGCUGAUUGGCUUGUUGGUAGGGUAGUGGCUUACCAAGGCGAUGAAGCAUAGCUGGUCGGAGCGGAUGAUCGGCCACACUGGGACUGAGACACGGCCCAGACUCCUACGGGAGGCAGCAGUGGGGAAUAUUGGACAAUGGGCGAAAGCCUGAUCCAGCAAUGCGGCGUGAGUGAUGAAGGCCUUAGGGUUGUAAAGCUCUUUUAGCCGGGAUGAUAAUGACAGUACCGGGAGAAUAAGCUCCGGCUAACUCCGUG